AGUGAACGCUGGCGGUAGGCCUAACACAUGCAAGUCGAACGGCAGCACAGUAAGAGCUUGCUCUUACGGGUGGCGAGUGGCGGGCGGGUGAGGAAUAUAUCGGAAUCUACUUUUUCGUGGGGGAUCACGUAGGGAAACUUACGCUAAUACCGCAUACGCCCUACGGUUGAAAGCAGGGGAUCUUCGGACCUUGUGCGAUUGAACGAGCCGAUGUCGGUGUAGCUAGUUGGCGGGGUAAAGGCCCACCUAGGCGGCGAUCCGUAGCUGGUCUGAGAGGAUGAUCAGCCACACUGGAACGGAGACACGGUCCAGACUACUACGGGAGGCACCAGUGUGGAAUAUUGGACAAUGGGCGCAAGCCUGAUCCAGCCAGACCGCGUGGGUGAAGAAGGCCUUCGGGUUGUAAAGCCCUUUUGUUGGGAAAAAAAAGCAUCAGGUUAAUACCCCGCGAUUCUGACGGUACCCAAAGAAUAAGCACCGGCUAACUUCGUG
RNAcentral lists this ribosomal RNA (492 nucleotides) under uncultured bacterium. RNAcentral describes it as "partial 16S ribosomal RNA". It matches the Rfam family "Bacterial small subunit ribosomal RNA", at positions 29 to 507 of the family's 1533-position model. The record is from RNAcentral.